UCCUCCGUGGCGCAAUUGGCUAGCGCGUCUGACUGUUACGGGAGUCCUCUGGGCUCCCACUGCAAUCAGGAGGUUGACAGUUCAAGCCUGUCCGGGGGAG
This 100-nucleotide transfer RNA is filed under the name Neofusicoccum parvum UCRNP2. It matches the Rfam family "tRNA". Rfam says of the family: Transfer RNA (tRNA) molecules are approximately 80 nucleotides in length. Their secondary structure includes four short double-helical elements and three loops (D, anti-codon, and T loops). Further hydrogen bonds mediate the characteristic L-shaped molecular structure. tRNAs have two regions of fundamental functional importance: the anti-codon, which is responsible for specific mRNA codon recognition, and the 3' end, to which the tRNAs corresponding amino acid is attached (by aminoacyl-tRNA synthetases). tRNAs cope with the degeneracy of the genetic code in two manners: having more than one tRNA (with a specific anti-codon) for a particular amino acid; and 'wobble' base-pairing, i.e. permitting non-standard base-pairing at the 3rd anti-codon position. Lineage: Eukaryota; Fungi; Ascomycota; Dothideomycetes; Botryosphaeriales; Botryosphaeriaceae. The record is from Rfam by way of RNAcentral.